This 262-nucleotide ribosomal RNA is filed under the name uncultured bacterium. RNAcentral describes it as "partial 16S ribosomal RNA". It matches the Rfam family "Bacterial small subunit ribosomal RNA", at positions 509 to 770 of the family's 1533-position model. The record is from RNAcentral.
CAGCAGCCGCGGUAAUACGUAGGUGGCGAACGUUGUCCGGAUUCACUGGGCGUAAAGCGUGCGUAGGUGGUUCGUUAAGUCUGAUGUGAAAGCCCUGGGCUCAACCUGGGAAUUGCAUUGGAUACUGGCGGGCUAGAGUACGGUAGAGGGUGGCGGAAUUCCUGGUGUAGCAGUGAAAUGCGUAGAUAUCAGGAGGAACAUCCGUGGCGAAGGCGGCCACCUGGACCAGUACUGACACUGAGGCACGAAAGCGUGGGGAGCA